UGUGAGAGGGGGCUUGCCCCCGAUGGCGGUGUAUCAGUCAAUAUAUUCAUGACUGACACACUGCCAUCGGGGGCAAGCCCCCUCCCACA
This 89-nucleotide unclassified non-coding RNA is filed under the name Pseudomonas marginalis. The record is from RNAcentral. Lineage: Bacteria; Pseudomonadati; Pseudomonadota; Gammaproteobacteria; Pseudomonadales; Pseudomonadaceae.